GGUCCCGUAGCCCAAUUGGUAGAGGCACACGGUUUAGGUCCGUGCCAGUCCCGGUUCGAAUCCGGGCGGGGCCA
Molecule: transfer RNA, 74 nt
Filed under: Phycisphaera sp. TMED151
Lineage: Bacteria; Pseudomonadati; Planctomycetota; Phycisphaerae; Phycisphaerales; Phycisphaeraceae
Also listed under: 6 other names
Description: tRNA-Leu
Rfam family: tRNA
About the family: Transfer RNA (tRNA) molecules are approximately 80 nucleotides in length. Their secondary structure includes four short double-helical elements and three loops (D, anti-codon, and T loops).
Source: RNAcentral